UACGUAGGGAGCAAGCGUUGUCCGGAAUCAUUGGGCGUAAAGCGCGCGUAGGCGGCCCCGUAAGUCCGCUGUGAAAGUCAAAGGCUCAACCUUUGAAAGCCGAUGGAUACUGUGAGGCUAGAGUCCGGAAGAGGCGAGUGGAAUUCCUGGUGUAGCGGUGGAAUGCGCAGAUAUCAGGAGGAACACCAAUAGCGAAGGCAGCUCGCUGGGACGGUACUGACGCUAAGGCGCGAAAGCGUGGGGAGCGAACAGG
This 253-nucleotide ribosomal RNA is filed under the name uncultured bacterium. RNAcentral describes it as "partial 16S ribosomal RNA". It matches the Rfam family "Bacterial small subunit ribosomal RNA", at positions 524 to 776 of the family's 1533-position model. The record is from RNAcentral.